This 684-nucleotide ribosomal RNA is filed under the name uncultured Bacilli bacterium. RNAcentral's name for it is "bacterial SSU rRNA". It matches the Rfam family "Bacterial small subunit ribosomal RNA", at positions 62 to 726 of the family's 1533-position model. Lineage: Bacteria; Bacillati; Bacillota; Bacilli. The record is from RNAcentral.
UCUUUCCUCCCGAGUGCUUGCACUCAAUUGGAAAGAGGAGUGGCGGACGGGUGAGUAACACGUGGGUAACCUACCCAUCAGAGGGGGAUAACACUUGGAAACAGGUGCUAAUACCGCAUAACAGUUUAUGCCGCAUGGCAUAAGAGUGAAAGGCGCCUUCGGGUGUCGUUGAUGGAUGGACCCGCGGUGCAUUAGCUAGUUGGUGAGGUAACGGCUCACCAAGGCCACGAUGCAUAGCCGACCUGAGAGGGUGAUCGGCCACACUGGGACUGAGACACGGCCCAGACUCCUACGGGAGGCAGCAGUAGGGAAUCUUCGGCAAUGGACGAAAGUCUGACCGAGCAACGCCGCGUGAGUGAAGAAGGUUUUCGGAUCGUAAAACUCUGUUGUUAGAGAAGAACAAGGACGUUAGUAACUGAACGUCCCCUGACGGUAUCUAACCAGAAAGCCACGGCUAACUACGUGCCAGCAGCCGCGGUAAUACGUAGGUGGCAAGCGUUGUCCGGAUUUAUUGGGCGUAAAGCGAGCGCAGGCGGUUUCUUAAGUCUGAUGUGAAAGCCCCCGGCUCAACCGGGGAGGGUCAUUGGAAACUGGGAGACUUGAGUGCAGAAGAGGAGAGUGGAAUUCCAUGUGUAGCGGUGAAAUGCGUAGAUAUAUGGAGGAACACCAGUGGCGAAGGCGGCU